Molecule: ribosomal RNA, 390 nt
Filed under: uncultured soil bacterium
Lineage: Bacteria
Description: bacterial SSU rRNA
Rfam family: Bacterial small subunit ribosomal RNA
Source: RNAcentral
AGAAUGAACGCUGGCGGCGCGCCUAAUACAUGCAAGUCGAGCGAGAAGACGUAGCAAUACGUUUGUAAAGCGGCGAACGGGUGAGGAAUACAUGGGUAACCUACCCUAGAGUGGGGAAUAACUAGCCGAAAGGUUAGCUAAUACCGCGUACGCUUCUUGGACUUCGGUUCAGGGAGGAAAGCGCUACCAAGGGUAGCGCGCUCUUGGAUGGGCUCAUGUCCUAUCAGCUUGUUGGUGAGGUAACGGCUCACCAAGGCUUCGACGGGUAGCUGGUCUGAGAGGACGAUCAGCCACACUGGCACUGCGACACGGGCCAGACUCCGUACGGAGGCGAGCAGUAAGGAAUAUGCGCAGUGGACGAACGCGCGACGACGACGCGACGGCCGCGGU